This 680-nucleotide long non-coding RNA is filed under the name Homo sapiens (human). Its description in RNAcentral is "non-protein coding lnc-SPOPL-8:1". Lineage: Eukaryota; Metazoa; Chordata; Mammalia; Primates; Hominidae. The record is from RNAcentral.
CCAGAUUUGAAACCACUGACAAUCUAGCACAUAUCCCAUGAAAGAUAAGGGAAACCAACAUAUCAUUCAGUAGGUGAAUGGAUAAAUGAAUUAUGGGUACAGUCACACAAUAGAAUAUAAUUCAGAACUAAAAAAAACAAAAUGAGGUAUCAAGCCUUUAAAAGUGUGGCAGAACCUUAAAUUCAUAUUGCUGAGUGAAAGAAGCCAAUCUCAAAAGGUACAUACUGUAUGAUUCUAACUAUAUGACAUUCUGGUAUAGGCAAAACUAUGGAGACAGCAAAAAGAUCAAUGUUUCCAGAGGUUGGGUAGGGGGAGACAUGAAUAGCUGUAGCACAGAGGGGUUUUAGAGCAGUGAAACUACUCUGUAUGAUACUAUAAUGACAGAUUCAUGUCAUUGUAUAGCUGUCAGACUGGUAUAAUGUACAACACCAAGAGUGAAUCCUAAUGUAAACUAUGUACUCUGGUUGAUAAUGAUGCGUCAAUAUUGGUUCAUUGAUUGUAACAAAUGUACCGCUCUGGUGCCCCGAGUUGUUAGUGGGGAAGAUUGGGGUGGGGGAUGAAAUGUAGAAACUCUCUACUUUCUCCUCAGUUUUUCUGUAAGCCUAAGAGUCAUGUAAAAAAAUAAAGACUAUUCAUUUUUAAAUACAUAAAUAAAGCAAAGAGAAAAAAGAAUGAGAGUA